GUUCUGUUCCAUUUCAAGACACCGUCCACCUGAGACACACCAACACUUAGACCCUUCCGUCAGCGUUCCACAGAUUCAGGAAAUACCCUCCGAUGUCUGACUGGGACAAUCAUGUGAACUGAAGUCGUCCAUAACAGGAGUGAGUUUCACUGGACCAUUGGGGACAUUUCCAUCACAGCGUCAUUAACACAAAUGGAUCAGUGUGAGGACAGAGAGGAGGGAGCCCCUCCCCCAAAGACCACCGACAGGACCCGUUCAGGACCUGGACCUGGACCUGGAC
Molecule: long non-coding RNA, 280 nt
Organism: Sphaeramia orbicularis (orbiculate cardinalfish)
Lineage: Eukaryota; Metazoa; Chordata; Actinopteri; Kurtiformes; Apogonidae
Exons: 3
Source: RefSeq, a predicted model, not a curated record